Molecule: ribosomal RNA, 421 nt
Filed under: uncultured bacterium
Lineage: Bacteria
Description: bacterial SSU rRNA
Rfam family: Bacterial small subunit ribosomal RNA
Source: RNAcentral
GAGGAAUAUUGGGCAAUGCCCGCAAGGGUGACCCAGCAACGCCGCGUGGAGGAUGAAUGUCGUAAGAUUGUAAACUCCUGUUAGAGGGGAAGAAUAGUACCGGUUGGACCGGUAUAUGACUGUACCCUCAGAGAAAGCCCCGGCUAACUACGUGCCAGCAGCCGCGGUAAUACGUAGGGGGCAAGCGUUGUCCGGAUUUACUGGGUGUAAAGGGCGCGCAGGCGGGAUAAAAAGUCAGUGGUGAAAUCCUACAGCUUAACUGUAGAACUGCCUUUGAUACGUUUAUUCUUGAGUUCGGGAGAGAGAGACGGAAUUCCAGGUGUAGUGGUGACAUACGUAGAUAUCUGGAAGAACACCAGUUGCGAAGGCGGUCUCUUGGUCCGACACUGACGCUGAGGCGCGAAAGCGUGGGGAGCAAACA